GCUCGCCAGAGAAUUACAAGCAACCGCUUAAAACCCAAAGGACUUGACGGUGUUCCACACCAACCUAGAGGAGCCUGUCCUAUAACCGAUACUCCACGCUAAACCCUGCCCCCCCUUGCACUUACAGCCUAUAUACCGCCGUCUCCAGUCCACCUGAUGACAGAUCCACCCAGCCGACACAAAAGCCAAACACAAGCACGUCAGGUCAAGGUGUAGCUAAUGCGGGGGUCUGAGAUGGGCUACAUUUCCCACUUUAGGAAACCACCAGCCGCAAAAUGAAAUAUGAGCCAAAAGGCGGAUUUAGUAGUAAGCGUGGACAAGAUAUGCCACCCUGAA
This 336-nucleotide ribosomal RNA is filed under the name Pachydactylus parascutatus. Its description in RNAcentral is "partial 12S ribosomal RNA". It matches the Rfam family "Bacterial small subunit ribosomal RNA", at positions 867 to 1366 of the family's 1533-position model. The record is from RNAcentral. Lineage: Eukaryota; Metazoa; Chordata; Lepidosauria; Squamata; Gekkonidae.